GCUGCAGCAAGGUCCUUCUCCCUCAGCCAGUGGGAGAGCUCCUCAGAGACAGGGUGUCCACCUCACACCCUUCAACCCCCAGCACCCAGCCCUCCGUGGGGGCUCUCUGCAGUUUGUGGUCCAGGUUCUGUUCUCAGGACAAGCACAAUCACCAACAGGCAUCAGCUGCGCUGGCUCCUGGAAGUCAGCCCUGCGCCACGCCCCUGAGCAGGUAAAGGUCGGGUUUCAGGAGAAUGGUGAGGAAUGGGAUGAUGACUAGAGAGGCAGUCGAGCUGGCAGAGGAUAGAGGGACAGAGAGCCAGUCAGGGCGGCUCUCACGAGCGGGACCACCUGCUCCUCCUCCUGACCAUGGCUGGAGCCUGGGUCCCUGAAGUCACCAGACCUGCAGUUCUGUUGAUUUUUGACACAGGAUCAAAGAAGCCCAUGCUCCUUCAAAGCUGAGACCUGCACCAGUGCUGGAGAGCAAGAAUUCCAAACUUCAAAACUAAGCAGUCUCUGAAGAAUGGAGAUGGCAGGCGUUCUGCUCCCUUACAGCAGCUGGUAGAAUCAAGACCCAUGGGUCCAUGGAGGAAAAGGGGAAGAGCCUCUGUCCUUUGGACCCCUGAUCCCGGGGUUUCCUCUCACACUCCCAUCAUCGCCGUCUCCUCUGUGUGCUGUGCUUAUCAGCCCUGUGGGCUCCAUGGACAUCUCAUGUGCCUGGGAGGCUGCUCUCCUUGUCCUGUGGAUCCAGUUCUUGGCAGCCCCACUCUCAGGAGCACAGGAGUCCUGAGAGCCUCCUUCUGCCCAUCCAGAUGCCCACACACCUGACCAGGAGUGCACUGCUUGUUCUGACAUAAAAAAUGUGAGUUUUCUUCAGUUGUCUCUCGAUGUUGUCUUAUUUAAUAAAGAAACAGCCUUCAGCCAUGCCAGGCAGCCAUGGACUGGAAGCUUCUGCAGCUUGCUCGGGUAGAGCUGUUCCUCCUGGAGCCCUAACAAAGCCCUCCGUUCCCCUUAUGAACCCCCUGCCAUGGCCAUCUUCAGCUCCCCUUGGGGACUGUUCCAGAGAACAAAUCUAAGGACAGAGGCUGAACCUCCCUGGAGCAAGCCUGGCUCUACGGGUGGCUGACUCCCUUAGAGGAGCCGUGCUCCGAGUUUUCAGAAGGAAACUGCAUGUCUUUAAUACAAACACAGGUGUGUCUGUAAUGUUUCUAAAUGGAAAAGGAGUGUUUGCCCUCAGGCAUCCUUGAUGGGACAAUGGACAGCAGCCUCGGUGAAGGUGUGGCUGGGACUCCCAGGGUGUCUGCUCCCUCUGUGUAUGGGCUGGGCUCCCUAAUCCCUGCAAGGAGUCCCAAAGCCAUGGAGUAGAGAGCCUUUGCAGCUGCCCUAGAGCCUGAGAGGCC
This 1379-nucleotide long non-coding RNA is filed under the name Homo sapiens (human). RNAcentral describes it as "HSALNT0170256". Lineage: Eukaryota; Metazoa; Chordata; Mammalia; Primates; Hominidae. The record is from RNAcentral.